GAUGAACGCUAGCUACAGGCUUAACACAUGCAAGUCGAGGGGCAGCAUGGUCUUAGCUUGCUAAGGCCGAUGGCGACCGGCGCACGGGUGAGUAACACGUAUCCAACCUGCCGUCUACUCUUGGACAGCCUUCUGAAAGGAAGAUUAAUACAAGAUGGCAUCAUGAGUCCACAUGUUCACAUGAUUAAAGGUAUUCCGGUAGACGAUGGGGAUGCGUUCCAUUAGAUAGUAGGCGGGGUAACGGCCCACCUAGUCUUCGAUGGAUAGGGGUUCUGAGAGGAAGGUCCCCCACAUUGGAACUGAGACACGGUCCAAACUCCUACGGGAGGCAGCAGUGAGGAAUAUUGGUCAAUGGGCGAGAGCCUGAACCAGCCAAGUAGCGUGAAGGAUGACUGCCCUAUGGGUUGUAAACUUCUUUUAUAAAGGAAUAAAGUCGGGUAUGCAUACCCGUUUGCAUGUACUUUAUGAAUAAGGAUCGGCUAACUCCGUGCCAGCAGCCGCGGUAAUACGGAGGAUCCGAGCGUUAUCCGGAUUUAUUGGGUUUAAAGGGAGCGUAGAUGGAUGUUUAAGUCAGUUGUGAAAGUUUGCGGCUCAACCGUAAAAUUGCAGUUGAUACUGGAUAUCUUGAGUGCAGUUGAGGCAGGCGGAAUUCGUGGUGUAGCGGUGAAAUGCUUAGAUAUCACGAAGAACUCCGAUUGCGAAGGCAGCCUGCUAAGCUGCAACUGACAUUGAGGCUCGAAAGUGUGGGUAUCAAACAGGAUUAGAUACCCUGGUAGUCCACACGGUAAACGAUGAAUACUCGCUGUUUGCGAUAUACAGCAAGCGGCCAAGCGAAAGCGUUAAGUAUUCCACCUGGGGAGUACGCCGGCAACGGUGAAACUCAAAGGAAUUGACGGGGGCCCGCACAAGCGGAGGAACAUGUGGUUUAAUUCGAUGAUACGCGAGGAACCUUACCCGGGCUUAAAUUGCAGAUGAAUUACGGUGAAAGCCGUAAGCCGCAAGGCAUCUGUGAAGGUGCUGCAUGGUUGUCGUCAGCUCGUGCCGUGAGGUGUCGGCUUAAGUGCCAUAACGAGCGCAACCCUUGUUGUCAGCUACUAACAGGUUCUGCUGAGGACUCUGACAAGACUGCCAUCGUAAGAUGUGAGGAAGGUGGGGAUGACGUCAAAUCAGCACGGCCCUUACGUCCGGGGCUACACACGUGUUACAAUGGGGGGGUACAGAGGGCCGCUACCACGCGAGUGGAUGCCAAUCCCAAAAACCUCUCUCAGUUCGGACUGGAGUCUGCAACCCGACUCCACGAAGCUGGAUUCGCUAGUAAUCGCGCAUCAGCCACGGCGCGGUGAAUACGUUCCCGGGCCUUGUACACACCGCCCGUCAAGCCAUGGGAGCCGGGGGUACCUGAAGUGCGUAACCGCGAGGAGCGCCCUAGGGUAAAACUGGUGACUGGGGCU
This 1451-nucleotide ribosomal RNA is filed under the name uncultured bacterium. Its description in RNAcentral is "bacterial SSU rRNA". It matches the Rfam family "Bacterial small subunit ribosomal RNA". The record is from RNAcentral.